AAUAACUUAAAGUUAAACUUCAAAUACAAGUUGCAAGACAGGCUGCUGAAAUACAGGAAGAGACUUUGGAACAACGUAAAGUUAGACUUCGAGCUCAAGCUGAAAGGCAGGCUAUUCAAAGACAGCAAGAAACUGUUGAACAUCACAAAGCCAGAGUUCAGUCAGAAUCAUCAA
Long non-coding RNA from Limulus polyphemus (Atlantic horseshoe crab), 174 nucleotides. RefSeq lists it as uncharacterized. NCBI's taxonomy places the organism in Eukaryota, Metazoa, Arthropoda, Merostomata, Xiphosura, Limulidae. The record is from RefSeq and is a predicted model, not a curated record. The transcript has 3 exons.